RNAcentral lists this transfer RNA (132 nucleotides) under Halogranum tailed virus 1. RNAcentral's name for it is "Halovirus HGTV-1 tRNA". It matches the Rfam family "tRNA". From Rfam's summary of the family: Transfer RNA (tRNA) molecules are approximately 80 nucleotides in length. Their secondary structure includes four short double-helical elements and three loops (D, anti-codon, and T loops). Lineage: Duplodnaviria; Heunggongvirae; Uroviricota; Caudoviricetes; Thumleimavirales; Halomagnusviridae. The record is from Rfam by way of RNAcentral.
AGCCCCGUGGCCGAAUGGUUCAAGGCGCUAUUACGUCGCUUCUGAGAUUUCAGCCACGUUUUGUGGAGCGAUUGGAAGCGUUACUUCGCUAUCUGGAAGCAGAGAUUGUAGGUUCGAAUCCUACCGGGGCUA